GGGAUUGCCUCAGUAACGGCGAGUGAAGCGGCAACAGCUCAAAUUUGAAAGCUGGCUUCGGCCCGCGUUGUAAUUUGUAGAGGAUGCUUCGGGUGCGGCCCCGGUCUAAGUUCUUUGGAACAGGACGUCAUAGAGGGUGAGAAUCCCGUAUAUGGCUGGUGGCCUGUGCCUAUGUGAAGCUCCUUCGACGAGUCGAGUUGUUUGGGAAUGCAGCUCAAAAUGGGAGGUGUAUUUCUUCUAAAGCUAAAUAUUGGCCAGAGACCGAUAGCGCACAAGUAGAGUGAUCGAAAGAUGAAAAGCACUUUGGAAAGAGAGUUAAAUAGUACGUGAAAUUGUUGAAAGGGAAGCGCUUGCAAUCAGACUUGCGCGGCGUUGAUCAACCUGGGUUCUCCCGGGUGCACUCGGCGCCGCUCAGGCCAGCAUCAGUUUCGGCGGUGGGAUAAAGGCCUAGGGAACGUGAGUCGCUUCGGUGACUGUUAUAGCCCUGGGUGCCAUGCUGCCUGUCGGGACUGAGGACCGCGCUUCGGCUAGGAUGCUGGCGUAAUGGUUGUAAGCGACCCGU
RNAcentral lists this small RNA (562 nucleotides) under Lophodermium sp. 0705HL1. Its description in RNAcentral is "eukaryotic LSU rRNA". It matches the Rfam family "Eukaryotic large subunit ribosomal RNA", at positions 71 to 652 of the family's 3401-position model. The record is from RNAcentral. Lineage: Eukaryota; Fungi; Ascomycota; Leotiomycetes; Rhytismatales; Rhytismataceae.